RNAcentral lists this ribosomal RNA (484 nucleotides) under uncultured bacterium. Its description in RNAcentral is "partial 16S ribosomal RNA". It matches the Rfam family "Bacterial small subunit ribosomal RNA", at positions 28 to 523 of the family's 1533-position model. The record is from RNAcentral.
GACGAACGCUGGCGGCGUGCUUAACACAUGCAAGUCGAACGAUGAAGCCGGAGCUUGCUCUGGUGAAUUAGUGGCGAACGGGUGAGUAACACGUGAGUAACCUGCCCUUGACUCUGGGAUAACUGCGGGAAACUGUAGCUAAUACCGGAUACGACCCUCGGAGGCAUCUCCUGGGGGUGGAAAGAAUUUCGGUCAAGGAUGGACUCGCGGCCUCUCAGCUAGUUGGUGAGGUAAAGGCUCACCAAGGCGACGACGGGUAGCCGGCCUGAGAGGGUGACCGGCCACACUGGGACGGAGACACGGCCCAGACUCCUGCGGGAGGCAGCAGUGGGGAAUAUUGCACAAUGGGCGCAAGCCUGAUGCAGCAACGCCGCGUGAGGGAUGACGUCCUUCGGGUUGUAAACCUCUUUUAGCAGGGAAGAAGCGAAAGUGACGGUACCUGCAGAAAAAGCACCGGCUAACUACGUGCCAGCAGCCGCAGUAA